This 257-nucleotide ribosomal RNA is filed under the name uncultured bacterium. Its description in RNAcentral is "partial small subunit ribosomal RNA". It matches the Rfam family "Bacterial small subunit ribosomal RNA", at positions 26 to 288 of the family's 1533-position model. The record is from RNAcentral.
AGGACGAACGCUGGCGGCGUGCUUAACACAUGCAAGUCGAGCGGAAAGGCCCUUCGGGGUACUCGAGCGGCGAACGGGUGAGUAACACGUGAGUAACCUGCCCUGGACUUUGGGAUAACCCUCGGAAACGGGGGCUAAUACCGAAUAUUACUUCCCCUCGCAUGGGGGGUGGUGGAAAGUUUUUCGGUCUGGGAUGGGCUCGCGGCCUAUCAGCUUGUUGGUGGGGUAAUGGCCUACCAAGGCGACGACGGGUAGCC